Non-coding RNA from Peromyscus maniculatus bairdii (prairie deer mouse), 4265 nucleotides. Lineage: Eukaryota; Metazoa; Chordata; Mammalia; Rodentia; Cricetidae. The record is from RefSeq and is a predicted model, not a curated record.
UUGCUACAGGGUGGGUCAUCUCCCGCAGCUGUGCCUGUGAGAGCCAAGUCUAGGGGAGCUGGAGGAGCAGGGGAGAUGGUACCUGGUACAGGCCAAGGCUAAGGGCAAGGCUCUCCAACAGCCAGUGUGACAAGUGACAGGUCUGCUUUACCACUGGAUCAGGCUGUGCCAGGUCCUUGGCCCCACCACCUGUUAGGAGGUGAGAGGAGAUCAAGUUUCAGAACCAAGCCACUUGGCCUCAGACCCUUCACACGUUCCAUCUGUGCCCCAAUGGACAUGAUUCAACUUCUCAGUGCUUUAGCGCCCUCCAGUGGAACAUGGGUGUCACAACAUGGAAUGCUGUGAGGAUGAAAUGAACUCGCCCAAUAAAGUCUGGAAGUGUCUCUUGACACAGAAGGAUCACCAUGGGAAUGUUAUAACAACAUCGCAAACCCUCUGGUUCUCUCCCAUCUAGAAGAUUUCCCAGCCUCCGAGGUGGUAAUCACCAUCAGGAUAUCGCUAGUGUUUGUGGUUUCUGACAGCAGACUUAGCAUUUUCAGUGCUACUAGAGCCUCUUCCUUAUUUCAGACCCUUGGUAAGGGAGGUCACAGGCACAGCUACAAGUGUGGAGAGAAACAUUUCGUUGUAUAAAUGGCGAAAUUGAAGCUCAGAAAGGAGAGUCAUGUGGUUUGUCGCACCAUGACGCUGGCAGCAGAGCCAGUUCUGAUUCCCUGUCUGCUCUUCUGUCUCUUCUCAGAGACACCACACACACCUCUGGCAGAAGAGGGAAAGUGGAGAUGGCCUGCAGGACAGCAGAACUGGACACACUUUCAAAAGACUAACUUGCUCCAGUUAGAAAAUGUGUUUUCUAUGACGUUUUAGUCAGUGGGUGAGUGUAUAAAUGACAGCAUCACCACGAAGACCAAGGGUGGAUCAACCACACCAUUUAGAUUUGUUUAAAUGUACUGCGAUGGUGCUAAUCAUUUUUAAAGUGUGUGUGUGUGUGUGUGUGUGUAUGUCCCUGUCUGUACACACACACACACACACACACACACACACACACACACACACACCUGUGGAGAUCAAUCUCAGGAGUGCUGUCUAUCUUCCUUUUGAAAUGCUCUCUAGGUAGCCUGGUACUCACCCAUUAGGUUAGACUGCUGGACAGCAAGUUCAGGGUUCCUCCUCCUGUCCUAGUCUCCCCAGGGCUGGGAUUACCCAUCUAUGCCACUGCACACAGCUCCUUUUAUUUGGGCUCUUGGGCACUGAACUCUGCCCCUCAUGCUUGUGCGGAGAGCACUUUACCAACUUUACCAACUGAGCUAUUCCCCUAUCCCCAUGGCCAAUCUUGAUUGUUAACCUGCGGGUGUAUAGAGCCACACCUUUGGGCGUAUCUGUUAUGGUGUUUUCAGAAAAGUUUGUCUGAGAUGGGAAGACCCACUCUGGAUGUGGAUGGCAUCAUUUCAUGGCUGAGGUUCCAGACCGAAUCAGGAGAAAGUGAGCUGAGCACCAGCAUUCAUUUCUUUCUGCUCCCUGGCUGCAAACCCAAGUUGACCGUGCUUUUGUGGCCAUGCCUCCCCUGCCUCAGUGAAUUGUCCCCUCAGACUAUAAGACUUUCUUUAUGUUGCUUUUGCUGAAUACUUAGUCACAGCAGUGAGAAAACGAACUGAGACCUCAAACAGCCUGUGAUGUUUUCACAAGGACACCAGGUCUACCAACAAAUUUCCCAGAACUGAUCUUUGAGUGACACACGGCUCUGGAAACACCCCGUGUUCUAUGGAGGCCACAGUAGAGACACAGAUAAGCUUGGCUUUGAGUGGAUGCCACAGGACAGGGGCUGUUGGAGCCCAAAGAGCAACAGAAAGGAGACACCUGUGCAGGAGGCUGGAGAUGGAGACACGAUUUUGAGGCAGGCAGCUGCCCUCCCUCACAUGGAAACAGCCCCCUCUCUCUUCAAUAUUGACCUGCAGAGAAAGAAGAAGAAAAACCAUCUUAAUACUUUUUCAGUGGAUCAUGAAGCGGUUUAUUUAAUAUUAUUUGGAUAACAAGCCUCCACAUGAAUGGGAUUCGAAUGUCAAUUGUCUUAGGGGAAAAAAGAUUUAUUGGUUGGUAAAUAUUGAGAAAGCAAAGCUGAUAAAGACCGGCUUCAGCUGCGGCCUCUGCUGGGAACGGGAGAACAGGCCUGUGUUGUAUUUUGGGGCCCUGGGAAGGCAAAAACUGGUGAAUGUCUGCCUUUGUUGGUGGGUGUAAAAGUGGAGCCCACCACAAAUAAUUUCUUAUUUCUGUUCACAUAGAUUUUAAAUUAUGUAGCUCCCCUACCUUGUUAAGUAUUAAAGCAGUCUUGUUUAAGGAAAAGGCAUUCCAAUAAUGAAGCUUAUGUAGCUUGUUUCCAGACAUCAAUAUCUGGCUUUGAGUGGCACAAAGAGAUAAAGGAAUGUGGAUUCACAGCCCCCUAGGAUGUUUGGCAAUUCUAAUUCAACCCGGCUGCAAAUGGACACAAGACUGUUGUGACUUCUCCUGAGGAGAAAGAAGGCUGGGUCUCUUUGGUAAAGAAUCUCUUUCCUGAAAUGGCUGAGAGCGACAGAAGCUGGAUUCAGAAGCUCACAGAGCUGGGGAAUGAGGGCUGCAGCAAGACUCAUGAAGGGAAAGGCUGCCAUCUUGUGGUCAGAUUGGUGCUCUGCACUCCUGCAAACCAUCUCUCUGCAGAAGCUCAGGACCCUGGUGGGAAGGAGCCUGCAAGCUGGAUUUCUGCAGGACAGUGUGAAUGCCUGUAGGAAUCACCCAGACAGUGGCCAAGUGCCUUCCAAGAAUGCGGCUGCCACGUUUUAAGGAAACCCAGGCUGUUCUGAUGUGUAAGCCAUGUUUAUUGGCCUUGGAGAGUGCAGCAGCAUGUGGAGAGCCCACAGAGUGGAAUCCGGGGACAACUUUGCUAAGCACCUGAGUGGCCAAGCAGCUUUGAGAAAAAGUGAGAAGACUGAUCCAGGACAUGUUUUCCAGAAGCACUUACCAGGCACCAGAUUCUCCAUGUGGGCUUUCUUUGUGGUCAUUUUCCACCGGCCAAAAGCUUGUUGGAAAUGGAAUCAAGCGUGUGCGUGUGACAUACUGCUCAUUCAGUUGCCUCCAAGCACCAACAGGUGGUGGUAAUGGGCUGGGGAAAAGUACCUGCCGAAGUGGGCGGUGCAUCCCAGUGACAGCAACUUUAAAUGAAAAGUGCUUUCAGAGAAGCCUGGUUAGUUCAUUAGACUGAUUAGUUAUUCGGAUGGUGCGCUGCAAACUCUAACUCUGCCACCCUGCUGACUCGGGGAGGUGCUGGUCUUCAAGGAGCAUUCAUUGUUUUUAGUUUUAGAAUAUCUAUCCCACUCUCCAGAAAUGAGGCUGAGGAUAAGCACUGACAUCAUGCAAUCUCCAGGGGUGGACGGAAACUGUGCUAACUGUGGUCCUUCUGGAAGGGGACGGAUGUUCACCAUGAUGCCACGUACAGGCUACAAGCCAGAGGAUCCAGGUCCAGCUGAAGGAAGAACAAAUGUGCUAAGAACUGUCUGGACAGUCUCUUGUGUGGUGGCCAGAAGGGUUUGUGGAGGCUUGCAGGACGUGAGAGAUGUGACUGAAAACUGGAUUUCUGGAAGGAUGGACUGCUCAGGGACACUGUGGUGAAGGAAUCAAAGUCUGGAAGGGAUUAAGAGAAAGGAGUUGUCUGGAAUGUUCUGUUCCAGAUACCUGUCCUGGACUACCUCCCAGUCCUUUAGAACAUUAUAGAUUAAUGUUUCUUUUUAUUACAAUCUCAUUAAUUUAUUUUUGUCUGUGUGUAUGAGUGUGUGCCCACAUGUGGAGGUCAGAGGACAACUUGCAGGAGUCAGUUGUGUUCUCUAUCCAUUUUUUGUGUCCCUAGGAUUAAAUUUUGGCCAUCAGCCUUGGCAGGAGUCACCCUUACACACCGAACCAUCUUGCCAGACCAGAUUAAUGUCUCAAUUAGUAAAGGUGGCACCAUGAAACAUUGCUGCCCCCUUUAAUAUUAACAUUAAUGUUUAAUACCUGAAAACAUUUUAUCUGGCAGAUUCUCCUGUGUUCUACAAAUGUUUUGUGUGAUUUGUAUGGAGAGACAAUGAAGAACAUUGCUCAGCUGAAAGGACCUCAAGUGUCCCGGAUUUAAGGAGAUGUAAUUUGGGUUUUUUUUUUUUUGGAUUUAAUUUCUUUUUAAAGAAUAAUGCAUUUAAAAUAUUUUUUGAUGAUAUGCCAUACCAGAAAUACAUUGUCAAUGUGAGCCAGUAUGCACAUUAUUGUAUAUA